Molecule: ribosomal RNA, 253 nt
Filed under: uncultured bacterium
Lineage: Bacteria
Description: partial 16S ribosomal RNA
Rfam family: Bacterial small subunit ribosomal RNA
Source: RNAcentral
UACAGAGGUCCCAAGCGUUGUUCGGAUUCAUUGGGCGUAAAGGGUGCGUAGGCGGCGCGGUAAGUCGGGUGUGAAAUCUCGGGGCUUAACUCCGAAACUGCAUUCGGUACUGCCGUGCUUGAGGACUGGAGAGGAGACUGGAAUUUACGGUGUAGCGGUGAAAUGCGUAGAUAUCGUAAGGAAGACCAGUGGCGAAGGCGGGUCUCUGGACAGUUCCUGACGCUGAGGCACGAAGGUCAGGGGAGCAAACGGG